GGUCAUGUGGCCUAGUGGUCAUGGCAUCUGCUUGGUAAGCGGAAGGUCGUGGGUUCGAUUCCCAUCCCUUGACACU
Molecule: transfer RNA, 76 nt
Filed under: Cordylochernes scorpioides
Lineage: Eukaryota; Metazoa; Arthropoda; Arachnida; Pseudoscorpiones; Chernetidae
Description: tRNA-Thr
Rfam family: tRNA
About the family: Transfer RNA (tRNA) molecules are approximately 80 nucleotides in length. Their secondary structure includes four short double-helical elements and three loops (D, anti-codon, and T loops). Further hydrogen bonds mediate the characteristic L-shaped molecular structure. tRNAs have two regions of fundamental functional importance: the anti-codon, which is responsible for specific mRNA codon recognition, and the 3' end, to which the tRNAs corresponding amino acid is attached (by aminoacyl-tRNA synthetases). tRNAs cope with the degeneracy of the genetic code in two manners: having more than one tRNA (with a specific anti-codon) for a particular amino acid; and 'wobble' base-pairing, i.e. permitting non-standard base-pairing at the 3rd anti-codon position.
Source: RNAcentral